RNA transcript from Olea europaea var. sylvestris, 1831 nucleotides. It is a transcript of the gene named O-fucosyltransferase 38-like, with no coding region annotated. The transcript is spliced from 7 exons. NCBI's taxonomy places the organism in Eukaryota, Viridiplantae, Streptophyta, Magnoliopsida, Lamiales, Oleaceae. The record is from RefSeq and is a predicted model, not a curated record.
AAAUUGCCACCCCUGGGAUAUCUGUUGUAGGUGAAGUAGCAAGUGAGAAACAAUAAUGCUUUACCAUCGACGCAAUUCCAAUCUCAGAAACCCUUUAAUCUGUAAUAGAAAGCAAUCUUUUUUUAUUAAUCACAGCCUAUGUAAUUCUUCUAUUUGCUCUGUCAAUCUUUGUUUUCAUAUUAUACAGCAAAGAUAUCUUGGAAGAUGAACACAAAAAGCCUUUGCCUGUAUUAGAAAAAUUCAAACCUGAGCAGCUUGGAGAUGAUCAAAUUUGGGAAGCUUCUUUUAGUCAUGGUUUAUGCCCAUGUGCCAAGCCGACCUCUAGAUAUAAAGGCGACGUCCUGCAACCUCCUCUCUCUCUCCAACUAAAAGACCUCAAUUUACAUGUUCGGUCACCCAAAUCUGGGAUCGCUGUAUGUCUAUCAGAAGUAAUGGGGGAUUAAAUCAAAUGCGCACUGGAAUAGCUGAUAUGGUGGCAGUGGCACAUAUAAUGAAUGCUACUUUCGUAAUUCCUCAGUUGCAUAAGCGUUCAUUCUGGCAGGAUACAAGUACAUUUUCUGAUAUAUUUGAUGAACUUCAUUUCAUUAAAACUAUACAACAAGAUGUGAGGAUCGUGGAGGAGGUUCCAAAAGAAUUGGAGAAUGUUCCUCGAGUCAGGAAGCACUUCACAUCAUGGUCUGGUAUGAGCUACUAUGAGGAAAUGACACAACUGUGGAAGGAUCAUGAUUCAUCAGGUACUGAGCAUAAAUGUCGGUGACACCACAGAAGCUAAUGGAGCGGUUGUGGUCACGAGCUGAAAGAUACAUUGCACGUCAUCUAAAAUAACAUGCUCUCUUUUACUGGCUGCACUUAUGGUCUUGCCGAUGCUGAAUCAGAGCAGCUUAGAAUAAUAAGGAAAGGUCUAGUGGAAUUAUUUGAUUGGAAGCUUGAGUGCUUGAAGAAAAUUCUGUCUCAUCUCAUUAAGAAAUUGCACAAAAACAGGCUAAGCCAAAUAUGCUCAUAGAUGUGUGCACUGCUCUACUGCAAAGCGGUGUUAUGGACUUGGUGGAGGUGUUUUCUAUAAUACAAUUUUGCAUGCCACACGAAAUUAUUGUCACCCAAGGGAGCCGACCACUAGAUACAAUCUAGUCGCUAAAAUGCUCAAAUAUUAUUGACAAGCAUCAAAUCAGCUAGCUAGUCAAGGAUUAAUAUCAGACUCAGUUUUUUUCACUGGUAGCUAUUGGCGGGCAAGGUGCACCGCGAAAAAGAGGAGGUGCCCCACCAGGGAUCAAGGGUCGAGCACGAUUCAUGCUGGAGGAAUCUUUUUACCAGAACCCAUACCCAGAAUGUAUAUGCAGGCAACAAUGAUGGUUGAACAGGGUUAAAAACAGGGAAGUGUGGACAGAUUGAGUUGACAGAAUUUGAUUGAGUGUUUUUUUUUUUUUUUUUUUUUUCAUACUUUGCCACGUGUCAUCCUUAUUUUUAACCAUGUUUUUGUAGCAUUUCUCAUAUGCAGGUCCAAAGACACGGUAAGAUGACACAAGUUUCAUCAGGAGAAAGUACAAGAAAUUAUUCUUUUCUGUUUGACCCUUUUGUGGGCACAUCCCGGGGUGUGGAUUUUUCCGUCGAAGUGAAAUGUUAAAUCAGAUCGACUGAAACAAGUACACGUGCUGAAGUCACUAAUGUGUUGCAUCAACUAUUGGGAACCAUUUCUUUUUGCAUAAUAUUUUUAUUUUCAUAAUACUGAUUUUUUUUCCUUCUCUAACUUGUAAUAUGAUGUCUGUAUAGUUGAAUUGACAUUUUGUAAUUGGAGUUUCGAUUAUCAGUUCAAUUUUGUGUAUUGUAUUGUUUA